This is a non-coding RNA of Rattus norvegicus (Norway rat), 3915 nucleotides long. NCBI's taxonomy places the organism in Eukaryota, Metazoa, Chordata, Mammalia, Rodentia, Muridae. The record is from RefSeq and is a predicted model, not a curated record.
GCACAGAGAUAGGCAGAUAGAUCGGUGCAAUAGAAUUGAAGACCCAGAAAUGAACCCACACACCUCUGGUUUUUCUUUGACAAAGAAGCUAAAACAAUCCAGUGGGAAAAAAAGACAACAUUUUCUGUUAAAAGACCCCCCUCCCAGAAAGGAAAUUGUACAAGCCCAAGGCCCUCAACUAUAGAAAUAAAAAGUAAGUUUUUAGAUAUGUGGGACAAGCUGACCCAUCAUUUAGACGAAACAGACCAGAAAAGAAAACAAAAUACAAAAACCAGACUAAAUUAUGGACAUUGCUCCAUGGGCCACCUGACAGGAAAAAGAAAAAGUCCCUGACCCCCCGGAAGCUCUGACCACCAUGUACUUUUUGCUAACUCACUGUUAUGAUUAUAGCCAAAAUAAAUAACAUACACGUAUGCCUCAUUUACUCCACCAAUCACAUCCCUGUAACCAUGCAUCUGCUUCUGUAAGCCUGCUUCUGCUCCCCAAUGCCCUAUAAAAACCCGUCCCUGGUUCUGCUAGGCACGCCAGUCUUCCAAAUUGACUGGUACGCCACAGAUACCUGUGUAUAAUGAUCAAUAAAAAUCCUCUUACAGAUUACAGCCUGUGGACUCGGACUGGUCAUUGGGCUCGAGGAUCUCCCUCCUGAGGGAAGAUUCUCUCUGAGAGUCUUACAUAUGGGGGCUCGUCCGGGAUCGGAGAUCCUCUGCCCAGAGACCACUGACCACCCACCGGGAGGUAAGCUGGCCAGCAUUUGUCUUGUCCUGUCUUGUCUUGCUUUGUGACUUGUUCUGUAAAUGCUUAGUUACUUGGCUUGGGUCUAUACCGUUUGUAUUUGGGCGGGCCAGAGAAGGAGCUGAGGAGCUCGGACUUCUCCCCCGCAGCCCUGGAAGACGUUCCAAGGGUGUUUAGAGCCCGGUUUUUUGGGGCUCAGCCUGUAUUGGAAGGAUACGUGGUUUGGGGUUGGAGGAGAGAGGAGAGAGCCGGAUCCACUGAAGGAUCCGGACCCUCGUCGCCUCUGUCUGAAUUUUUGGUUUCAGUUUGACACCGAAGCCUCGCGGUGCGUCUGUCUGUCUGUUGGAAUUGUUUGUCUUCUUUGUGUCCUAAUUUUCUUUGAACAUCUGUGGAAAUUGGUUAUAGGAUGCUUUGUCUUGGUUUUGUUUGUCUGGUUUGUUUUCUGUGGUAUUGUCGAGUGUCUUUUUGGCUUUUGUUUCGUUUUUGGACUUUGGACAGACGACUGUGUUUAAAAUCUUGGACUGACAACUGUGUUUGAAAUCAUGAAACUGUUUGCUUUGUUUGUCAAGGAGUUUUACUUGGUCCUCUUGGUGCUUAACUUGGAAAUAAUUUGCUUGAGAAAAAUUGUUUUAUCUUUCUCUCUUAGCCUCCUCCCCAAGGAGAGAUGCCCCUCCCUUUGCUCCCCUUGUCCAGUCUAGCUGCUGUUAACAGUUGUGUAUGAAGAACUCCAGGUUAGUGAGUGACCCUGUCUGAAGCAGGUAUUAACAAGAGCCUGAAAGCUUUACCUUAGAUCCUGAAGAAAAAUUCUCCCUGUUGCUUAAACAUUCACAGCUUCUAAGGAAGGGACAGCACAGAGUAGGAAAAUGUAGGGGCUGAGGGUGACAAGCAUACAGGCCUGCUAGCAAGCUGCAGGCUGCGCGUGGGCAGUGGCGCAGCUCUGGCCAAGUCAGCGUAAGAGGAGUUUCAAGGUGAUGAGGCCGGCCGGCUUUGACAACAAGAAGAUAGCGUAGAGUUAGUGGUUGUUUUAUGAGACUUUUGGCCCUGAAAAAAUAAUAAUUCCAGUUGCUGCCUUCAGUGACCAGACCUUCAACACUUGCUCACAGAAGGAGAGCGUUCAUUAGGAGUUCUUUAAGGGAGCCUGCCUUAUCUGCUGGCCCUAUUCCAAGAGAGGAGUUGAUCUCCAACAUUAAGUAACCUUCCCUGUUAGUCAUCAUUGACAUGGAGAGUGCCUUUGAUCCUAUCCCCACAGCAGCCAGUUCCUGCCCCUGUGGUCAAAAUGCCCCAGGUUGGGGGACAGAGAAGCCCCUAAAAUAGUUUCAAAAAGAAUCUGCAACAAACUGUGAAGAACUUUGUUUUGCCAGUCAAAAUUUAGAAUUCAGGCUUUGGCUGUGGCCAAGGUCAGUAUUAAUGUUUUCCUUUCCAUGGGCAUUUAACCCAAUGAGACAGUUUGGUAAAGGGCUGCUACUGAGGUCCUGAAAGUCCCAGGUGAACUGGUUACAAUUCUUUUGUCAGCCACUUGGCAUCUAGCAUCCAGGUCCUAACCAUCUCUCCAUCCUUUUGUUAUUAGUUCUUAAGUCCAGAGAGAUAGUCGGUAACAGAUCAGCUCCCUCUUUGCUUGCCGUCCUGUUUCACAGACACAAAGCUUGUGCUUAUUUUUACAAUGGCCUUUUUGUCCCAAGAAAGCCUCUUGGCUUAGCUGUGUGACUAAAUGCUAUUUGUCCUCUUCAGUGGACCUCUAUUCUCAAGAUUCUCUUGUUUUCUCACCAUCCCGUUUGAGAUGCUUGUUAGUAACUGUUACAGGUCUUCUUUACCACCGAGGAAAGACAGAAUCCUGCUAGAGGCCAGAAAGAAUGUUCCAGACAUAGAUGGAAGACCCUCACUCCUGACUGUUGACUUGAAUACCCCUGAAGGCUAAAAGACCUACCGGUGAUACAGAAAGAAAUCUGCUCACAGUUGACAGCAGCCUAUGCCCUGGAGACCCCUGAGACAUGUCAUCAGUUCCAGGUUAGAGACUACAGCUACACUGAGCCCAGACACUCGAGCCUCACUGGAAAGGACCGUACCUGGUGCUGCUGACCACCCUGAUAGCCAUCAAGUCUCAGCCCUCACCAGCAGCGUACUAGCUGUUGGGGCUGAGAGCUGGGACCUAGAGGGACACUCAGAUCUUCAAAAAGCUCCCUAGACUUAAGUGACUGGGAGGUUGCUAUAAUGCUCACUUGAGGAGUGUGUUUUAGAAACAAGAAUUUCAUGUUUGCCUGUUUGCCCUGGGUUCCCUCAGAAUAGGUGUAAAGAUAGGCUUGAUUUUUAUUACAAAUGAUGUAACAUUACAUAUGCUAGUACUCCUAACACUUCUUGGGACUGUGCCUCAGGGAUCACAACCUAUAUAAGUUUAAAAGUUCUAAAAGACCUUGGUGUAUAGGUUCAGAUAUUGUCCAAAUUAGAAUCCUGAUGCUAAAGACUUAAUAAGACACAAAAGAGAGUUGAAAAUUAUUUAAGGCUAUCUAGGUGCUACAAGGGCAGCACAAGGACAUCUGCUGUUGCCCUAUAAUGCAAGGCUUAUAGAAAAUUCAAAAUUGCCAUUGACUCAGAUAUAAAAAAAAUUAAAAAAAGACUUUUUAGCUGACCUCCAAGAACACCUAACCUCCCUCUCAGAGGUAGUCCUUCAAAACAGGAGAAGAUUAGACCUGAUAUUCCUUAAAGAAAGAGUCUGUGUGCUACACUAAAAAAAAUGUUGUUUCUAUAUAGAUCAGACAGGAAUAGUAAGAAAUACAGACUUUCAGUCAUUCAAACUUUUGUGCUGAGACAACAGUAUCAGAUGGCGAAACAACAAAAAACAGAGGUACCUUAACCAAGUUGAGUGGAAGAUUCCACUCAAGGACAAAAAAAAAGAAAAUGGGGGAAUAAAAGACCCCCUCCAAGAAAGGAAAUUGUACAAGUCCAAGGCCCUCAACUAUAGAAAUAAAAAGUAAGUUUUUAGAUAUGUGAGACAAGCUGACCCAUCAUUUAGACGAAACAGACCAGAAAAGAAAACAAAAUACAAAAACCAGACUAAAUUAUGGACAUUGCUCCAUGGGCCACCUGAUAGGAAAAAGAAAAAGUCCCUGACCCCCCGGAAGCUCUGACCACCAUGUACUUUUUGCUAACUCACUGUUAUGAUUAUAGCCAAAAUAAAUAACAUACACG